RNAcentral lists this ribosomal RNA (576 nucleotides) under Salmonella enterica. RNAcentral's name for it is "partial 23S ribosomal RNA". It matches the Rfam family "Bacterial large subunit ribosomal RNA", at positions 2238 to 2813 of the family's 2925-position model. The record is from RNAcentral. RNAcentral also lists the same sequence under 1 other name. Lineage: Bacteria; Pseudomonadati; Pseudomonadota; Gammaproteobacteria; Enterobacterales; Enterobacteriaceae.
AUCCGGGUUGCGGACAGUGUCUGGUGGGUAGUUUGACUGGGGCGGUCUCCUCCUAAAGAGUAACGGAGGAGCACGAAGGUUGGCUAAUCCUGGUCGGACAUCAGGAGGUUAGUGCAAUGGCAUAAGCCAGCUUGACUGCGAGCGUGACGGCGCGAGCAGGUGCGAAAGCAGGUCAUAGUGAUCCGGUGGUUCUGAAUGGAAGGGCCAUCGCUCAACGGAUAAAAGGUACUCCGGGGAUAACAGGCUGAUACCGCCCAAGAGUUCAUAUCGACGGCGGUGUUUGGCACCUCGAUGUCGGCUCAUCACAUCCUGGGGCUGAAGUAGGUCCCAAGGGUAUGGCUGUUCGCCAUUUAAAGUGGUACGCGAGCUGGGUUUAGAACGUCGUGAGACAGUUCGGUCCCUAUCUGCCGUGGGCGCUGGAGAACUGAGGGGGGCUGCUCCUAGUACGAGAGGACCGGAGUGGACGCAUCACUGGUGUUCGGGUUGUCAUGCCAAUGGCACUGCCCGGUAGCUAAAUGCGGAAGAGAUAAGUGCUGAAAGCAUCUAAGCACGAAACUUGCCCCGAGAUGAGUUCUC